RNAcentral lists this ribosomal RNA (253 nucleotides) under uncultured bacterium. RNAcentral describes it as "partial 16S ribosomal RNA". It matches the Rfam family "Bacterial small subunit ribosomal RNA", at positions 524 to 776 of the family's 1533-position model. The record is from RNAcentral.
UACGUAGGAUGCUAGCGUUGUCCGGAUUUACUGGGCGUAAAGCGCGCGCAGGCGGCACUGUAAGUAAGGUGUGAAAUAUCCCUGCUCAACGGGGAGGGUGCACUUUAGACUGCAGAGCUAGAGGACGGUAGAGGGGGGUGGAAUUGCUGGUGUAGCGGUGAAAUGCGUAGAUAUCUGGAGGAAUACCGGUGGCGAAGGCGGCAUCCUGGACCAUUACUGACGCUGAGGCGCGAAAGCUAGGGGAGCAAACGGG